RNAcentral lists this ribosomal RNA (434 nucleotides) under uncultured Anaerobacterium sp. RNAcentral's name for it is "partial 16S ribosomal RNA". It matches the Rfam family "Bacterial small subunit ribosomal RNA", at positions 341 to 792 of the family's 1533-position model. The record is from RNAcentral. Lineage: Bacteria; Bacillati; Bacillota; Clostridia; Eubacteriales; Oscillospiraceae.
ACGGAAGGCAGCAGUCGGGAAUAUUGCGCAAUGGAGGGAACUCUGACGCAGUGACGCCGCGUAUAGGAAGAAGGUUUUCGGAUUGUAAACUAUUUUAGACAGGGAAGAUAAUGACAGUACCUGUAGAAUAAGCUCCGGCUAACUACGUGCCAGCAGCCGCGGUAAUACGUAGGGAGCAAGCGUUAUCCGGAUUUAUUGGGUGUAAAGGGUGCGUAGACGGGAAAUCAAGUUAGUUGUGAAAGCCCUUGGCUUAACUGAGGAACUGCAACUAAAACUAAUUUUCUUGAGUGCAGGAGAGGAAAGCGGAAUUCCUAGUGUAGCGGUGAAAUGCGUAGGUACUAGGAGGAACACCAGUGGCGAAGGCGGCUUUCUGGACUGUAACUGACGUUGAGGCACGAAAGUGUGGGGAGCAAACAGGAUUAGAUACCCUGGUA